GACGAACGCUGGCGGCGUGCUUAACACAUGCAAGUCGAGCGGAGCGGCGAACGGGUGAGUAACGCGGGAGUAACUGCCCCCCUCUCUGGGAUAACAGUUGGAAACGGCUGCUAAUACCGGAUAGUGGGGGAUGACUCGCGUCCUAUCAGCUUGUUGGUGGGGUAGUGGCCUACCAAGGCGACGACGGGUAGCCGGCCUGGGAGGGCGACCGGCCACAUUGGGCUGAGGUACGGCCCAAACUGCUACGGGGGGCAGCAGGGGGGAGUAUUGCACAAUUGGGGAAACCCUAAUGAGGCAGCGCCGGGGGCGGGAUGACGGCCUUCGGGUUGUAAACCGCUUUCAGCCAUGACGCGGUAGUGGCAGAAGAAGCACCGGCUAACUACGUGCCAGCCGCCGCGGUAAUUC
This 405-nucleotide ribosomal RNA is filed under the name uncultured bacterium. RNAcentral's name for it is "partial 16S ribosomal RNA". It matches the Rfam family "Bacterial small subunit ribosomal RNA", at positions 28 to 526 of the family's 1533-position model. The record is from RNAcentral.